CCUGGCGGCGUGCCUACACAUGCAAGUCGAGCGAUCUCUUCGGAGAGAGCGGCGGACGGGUGAGUAACGCGUGGGUAACCUGCCCUGUACACACGGAUAACAUACCGAAAGGUAUACUAAUACGGGAUAACAUACGAAAGUCGCAUGGCUUUUGUAUCAAAGCUCCGGCGGUACAGGAUGGACCCGCGUCUGAUUAGCUAGUUGGUAAGGUAAUGGCUUACCAAGGCAACGAUCAGUAGCCGACCUGAGAGGGUGAUCGGCCACACUGGAACUGAGACACGGUCCAGACUCCUACGGGAGGCAGCAGUGGGGAAUAUUGCACAAUGGGCGAAAGCCUGAUGCAGCAACGCCGCGUGAGCGAUGAAGGCCUUCGGGUCGUAAAGCUCUGUCCUCAAGGAAGAUAAUGACGGUACUUGAGGAGGAAGCCCCGGCUAACUACGUGCCAGCAGCCGCGGUAAUACGUAGGGGGCUAGCGUUAUCCGGAAUUACUGGGCGUAAAGGGUGCGUAGGUGGUUUUUUAAGUCAGAAGUGAAAGGCUACGGCUCAACCGUAGUAAGCUUUUGAAACUAGAGAACUUGAGUGCAGGAGAGGAGAGUAGAAUUCCUAGUGUAGCGGUGAAAUGCGUAGAUAUUAGGAGGAAUACCAGUAGCGAAGGCGGCUCUCUGGACUGUAACUGACACUGAGGCACGAAAGCGUGGGGAGCAAACAGGAUUAGAUACCCUGGUAGUCCACGCCGUAAACGAUGAGUACUAGGUGUCGGGGGGUUACCCCCCUCGGUGCCGCAGCUAACGCA
Molecule: ribosomal RNA, 793 nt
Filed under: Clostridium sp. AL04-19
Lineage: Bacteria; Bacillati; Bacillota; Clostridia; Eubacteriales; Clostridiaceae
Description: bacterial SSU rRNA
Rfam family: Bacterial small subunit ribosomal RNA
Source: RNAcentral